GGUGUUCGAUUCCAGCCGGUUCCAUUUAUUUCAAAUGUGCUUCAUGAUUUUCCUUUUCCCUCCAUUGUUUCUAUUACUUGCUUCAUACUUUUUUUUUAUUUUUUCAUCAUCUUUAAAAAUUCAUAUAUAAUUGAAAAUUGCUCCAAAAAAUAUGAGGUUUUUUGCAUUGCAUUCCUUGUUUUCUCUAUUAUUUUUUGAUCAUUGUUCCAUAAAUUGUGCAUGGCUGG
This 227-nucleotide long non-coding RNA is filed under the name Lathyrus oleraceus (garden pea). RNAcentral describes it as "Pisum sativum (pea) long non-coding RNA (PSAT_LNC025499)". The record is from RNAcentral. Lineage: Eukaryota; Viridiplantae; Streptophyta; Magnoliopsida; Fabales; Fabaceae.